Spodoptera litura is the source of this 616-nucleotide non-coding RNA. The record is from RefSeq and is a predicted model, not a curated record. Lineage: Eukaryota; Metazoa; Arthropoda; Insecta; Lepidoptera; Noctuidae.
AAACUAGUAUAAAGCAGCUUGCCGGCCGACUGGCCGCACAGUCCGGUCUUGUAUACAGACGUGAGCGUGUGUGUGACUAUCUUACCCUCGGAUUUCCUUCCUUUUAUAAUGGCUGACUCUGACCGCAUCGUGUACCCUGAGGAGGUCGCCGAGGUCAAGGCAGACGCUAUUGCUGCAGCAGAGGCUGAAGACAAGACCUCAGGCGGUGACAGCAACACCGUGGAGACACCAGUUCCCGGAGGAAUCACAAUGAGGAAUGCAAUCACAGUUCCUACGAACUGUCCACCUGGCCAUAAGAUGGGAGCUGACGGCGUUUGUCGUGAAGUGUUUUAACUAUUUGUACGUUAUUUUAAGUUUGCAGCUAAAGAGAGUCGAGCAUAUUUUUGCGUAUAGGUAUAAUGUAAGACUAAAAGUAUGUUAACAGACCCCAUCACAAAAAACUUUUAAAAUUAAAUGCAAGCAUAGACACAUUGCACCAUUGCAUAAACCAGUAUUAUUAUAUUGAAAUCGAAUUGGUGAUGUAUUUUUUAGUAUUUAAGUUUUUAUGAUAUUGUCUGUUUGUGUUGUUAAUGAAAAUCGUAAUUUUUGUUAAUUAAAUAUUAAGUGACACUUUGUA